Molecule: small RNA, 66 nt
Filed under: Bacillus sp. SJS
Lineage: Bacteria; Bacillati; Bacillota; Bacilli; Caryophanales; Bacillaceae
Description: Bacillaceae-1 RNA
Rfam family: Bacillaceae-1 RNA
Source: Rfam by way of RNAcentral
UAGUAAAGAUGUUCUGCUAAAGGCGCGACGUCCUGUCGCAACGCAGAACUGCCUGCAUCGUGCUGC